RNAcentral lists this ribosomal RNA (87 nucleotides) under uncultured bacterium. RNAcentral describes it as "partial 16S ribosomal RNA". The record is from RNAcentral.
CACAUCACGAAAGUGAAUUGUACUAGAAGUCUGCAGGCUGACCUGAAAGGGAGGCAGCGGCCCAAGGUAUGAUCCAUGAUUGGGGUG